CCCAGACUCCUACGGGAGGCAGCAGUGGGGGAUAUUGCACAAUGGGGGGAACCCUGAUGCAGCGACGCCGCGUGGGUGAAGGAGCGUUUCGGCGCGUAAAGCCCUCUCGGCAGGGAAGAAGGAGGACGGUACCUGACUAAGAAGCCCCGGCUAACUACGUGCCAGCAGCCGCGGUAAUACGUAGGGGGCAAGCGUUAUCCGGAUUUACUGGGUGUAAAGGGGGCGCAGACGGCAGCGCAAGCCAGGAGUGAAAGCCCGGGGCCCAACCCCGGGACUGCUCUUGGAACUGCGCGGCUGGAGUGCAGGAGGGGCAGGCGGAAUUCCUGGUGUAGCGGUGAAAUGCGUAGAUAUCAGGAGGAACACCGGUGGCGAAGGCGGCCUGCUGGACUGCGACUGACGUUGAGGCCCGAAAGCGUGGGGAGCAAACAGGAUUAGAUACCCUGGUAG
Molecule: ribosomal RNA, 447 nt
Filed under: uncultured bacterium
Lineage: Bacteria
Description: partial 16S ribosomal RNA
Rfam family: Bacterial small subunit ribosomal RNA
Source: RNAcentral